CAGUCGCCGCGGUAAUACGUAGGGUGCGAGCGUUAAUCGGAAUUACUGGGCGUAAAGCGUGCGCAGGCAGUUUUGUAAGACAGGCGUGAAAUCCCCGGGCUCAACCUGGGAAUGGCGCUUGUGACUGCAAAGCUAGAGUGCGGCAGAGGGGGAUGGAAUUCCGCGUGUAGCAGUGAAAUGCGUAGAUAUGCGGAGGAACACCGAUGGCGAAGGCAAUCCCCUGGGCCUGCACUGACGCUCAUGCACGAAAGCGUGGGGAGCAAACAGGAUUAGAUACCCCCGUAGUCCCUGUCUCUUAUAU
Molecule: ribosomal RNA, 301 nt
Filed under: uncultured bacterium
Lineage: Bacteria
Description: partial 16S ribosomal RNA
Rfam family: Bacterial small subunit ribosomal RNA
Source: RNAcentral